This is a long non-coding RNA of Nematostella vectensis (starlet sea anemone), 747 nucleotides long. RefSeq lists it as uncharacterized. The record is from RefSeq and is a predicted model, not a curated record. The transcript is spliced from 2 exons. Lineage: Eukaryota; Metazoa; Cnidaria; Anthozoa; Actiniaria; Edwardsiidae.
UUGAGUCCAUUUACGGUAGUUAACGGAGACGGGUUCUGUGAUAUUUGAGAUUCCUCCCAACCUUAAAGAUUUCACUAGAAUCAUUCGUAUCAACAGCUAUAAAAGGCGCGGGAGGGAAAAGUGCUUCACUCGAGGAAUCAAAACCUGGCCGACGUUUGCUAAAGUCCGGUUCAAGAUGAAUUACUCCCGAUUCGCUCUUCUCGUUUUCGUCUCAACGAUGAUCGUUUCCGCGGGAAGUGCUCGAGGCUAUUGCAAUGACUGCAGUUGUUGUUCAGCGAAUGCAAUCAGUUGUAUUGGAAUGUGCUCACAUCCUCAGCAAUGCAGCGGUUGCUCCGAUGAGGCAGAGUCGUGCCGCACUGCCCUUUGUGGAAGGAAGAGGAGUCUUGAUGCGUGGAAAGACUACAUGGUGAAAUACAACCGACGAAAACAACAAGAACAAACUCAACCUCAAGACUAUGAACAACUCGCUAAGCUUCAUUGAUGAAAGAUUGUCUUCGAGCGGAAUGGAAAAGAAGAGAUCAAUAACACGUCAUUAUUUCACUUCACUUCAUUAAUCUCAUUAACUACUUUAAGUACAAAUUAGCCGACAGGUUAAGUUACCAGAAAAAAAUAUUCAGUUCAAGUCAAGUGGAUUAUACGCAGUGUCUAACAGACUAAUUGUAAAAAAAAGGAAAACUAGUUUUUAGAACACGUUAUAAUCACACUUUAUUCCUUUGUUUGAAAAUUGAUUAAAAUUCUGUUAAUCUG